ACCUAGCCUAAGGUGUGAAUGACGGU
This 26-nucleotide non-coding RNA is filed under the name Rattus norvegicus (Norway rat). The record is from RNAcentral. Lineage: Eukaryota; Metazoa; Chordata; Mammalia; Rodentia; Muridae.